UGGGGAAUAUUGGACAAUGGGCGCAAGCCUGAUCCAGCCAUACCGCGUGGGUGAAGAAGGCCUUCGGGUUGUAAAGCCCUUUUGUUGGGAAAGAAAUCCUAUCGGUUAAUAACCGGUGGGGAUGACGGUACCCAAAGAAUAAGCACCGGCUAACUUCGUGCCAGCAGCCGCGGUAAUACGAAGGGUGCAAGCGUUACUCGGAAUUACUGGGCGUAAAGCGUGCGUAGGUGGUGGUUUAAGUCUGCUGUGAAAGCCCUGGGCUCAACCGGGGAAUUGCAGUGGAUACUGGAUCACUAGAGUGUGGUAGAGGGAUGCGGAAUUUCUGGUGUAGCAGUGAAAUGCGUAGAGAUCAGAAGGAACAUCCGUGGCGAAGGCGGCAUCCUGGGCCAACACUGACACUGAGGCACGAAAGCGUGGGGAGCAAACA
Molecule: ribosomal RNA, 427 nt
Filed under: uncultured prokaryote
Description: bacterial SSU rRNA
Rfam family: Bacterial small subunit ribosomal RNA
Source: RNAcentral